This 459-nucleotide ribosomal RNA is filed under the name uncultured bacterium. RNAcentral's name for it is "partial 16S ribosomal RNA". It matches the Rfam family "Bacterial small subunit ribosomal RNA", at positions 338 to 795 of the family's 1533-position model. The record is from RNAcentral.
CCUACGGGAGGCAGCAGUGAGGAAUAUUGGUCAAUGGCCGGAAGGCUGAACCAGCCAAGCCGCGUGAAGGACGAAGGUGCCAAGCAUUGUAAACCUCUUUUGUCAAGGGACAAAAUCAGCCUCGAGUGGCUGACCGAGGGUACUUGAAGAAAAAGCAUCGGCUAACUCCGUGCCAGCAGCCGCGGUAAUACGGAGGAUGCGAGCGUUAUCCGGAUUUAUUGGGUUUAAAGGGUGCGUAGGCGGGCGAGUAAGUCAGCGGUAAAAGCCAGGGGCUCAACCCCGGCGAGCCGUUGAAACUGGCUGUCUUGAGAGAGCGAGAAGUAUGCGGAAGGCGCGGUGUAGCGGUGAAAUGCAUAGAUAUCGCGCAGAACUCCGAUUGCGAAGGCAGCAUACCGGCGCCCAUCUGACGCUGAGGCACGAAAGCGUGGGUAUCGAACAGGAUUAGAUACCCCAGUAGUC